Long non-coding RNA from Dermacentor silvarum, 586 nucleotides. RefSeq lists it as uncharacterized. The transcript is spliced from 2 exons. The record is from RefSeq and is a predicted model, not a curated record. Lineage: Eukaryota; Metazoa; Arthropoda; Arachnida; Ixodida; Ixodidae.
CGAGCUCGCAGUGUUCGAACCAGGCGGGCAGCAGUUCCGAGCUCCUGGGGUGAACGAGGCGAGAGGUCCUGCCAGGCGAGACGUCCGUGGCAAGGUGCGGAGGAUCGCGGAGCCGAGCGUGGACGAGGGCGUCCGAGGAACCAGGGUUCCUGCUGCCAGUGCUCGAGACGCUGGCUGACCCGACUGUGCCGAGCAGCGUUCGUCUGGCACAGAUGUUGCUGUGCUAGACGCGGUCCUCACGUGCGACCGCCGCACGUGGAUUGCGAGCGGCGUACGAGCUGGGCACCGAGGUCGUGCUGGACAAGGCGUUCCCUGGCUGCUGCCGUUGCUGCUCCUGAGCGUGCCGAGCCCGAGAAUCGUACUGGACGGGGCCUGAACGUGUCGUCGUGGCAGUCGGCUCGAGCACGGGUGAACCCGCAGUGCCGUGACGACAGAAGCGUGAGCCUCGAAACACGGGACUGUCUCAGCCCGUUUAUACUCGUGUGCUGUGCGUGUGUGGACACACUGACUGCCGUUACACAGAUUAUCAACUCUCUGUAUAUACAUAUUUUAAAGAUUCUUUUUGAUUUUAUAAAUGCUCCAAAAC